AUGGUCACAUCACAUUGAAACACUAGUUCCUGUAUGAUCACCAAAGUUAAGUAAUGUUGAACCCGGUCAGUACCUAGAUGGGUGACUGCUUUGGAGUACCAGGUGCUGUAAU
RNAcentral lists this ribosomal RNA (112 nucleotides) under Acanthosepion pharaonis. The record is from RNAcentral. Lineage: Eukaryota; Metazoa; Mollusca; Cephalopoda; Sepiida; Sepiidae.